CAAAAGCGUCGCUAGGGUUCCGCACAGUUACUGUGGUCUGGUCCAAGAGCGACCGCGUGCUCGCACGUACACGGAAGGACAAAAGCCUGGGAGUU
Molecule: small RNA, 95 nt
Filed under: Weissella cibaria
Lineage: Bacteria; Bacillati; Bacillota; Bacilli; Lactobacillales; Lactobacillaceae
Description: Guanidine-I sequence
Rfam family: Guanidine-I riboswitch aptamer
About the family: This family represents a conserved RNA structure found upstream of the ykkC and yxkD genes in Bacillus subtilis and related genes in other bacteria.
Source: Rfam by way of RNAcentral